UACGGAAGGCAGCAGUGGGGAAUUUUGGACAAUGGACGAAAGUCUGAUCCAGCCAUGCCGCGUGCGGGAAGAAGGCCUUCGGGUUGUAAACCGCUUUUGUCAGGGAGAAAGCUCCGAACUAAUAUUUUGGGGUGAUGACGGUACCUGAAGAAUAAGCACCGGCUAACUACGUGCCAGCAGCCGCGGUAAUACGUAGGGUGCAAGCGUUAAUCGGAAUUACUGGGCGUAAAGCGUGCGCAGGCGGUUCUAUAAGACAGAUGUGAAAUCCCCGGGCUCAACCUGGGAACUGCAUUUUGUGACUGUAGAGCUGGAGUGCGGCAGAGGGGGAUGGAAUUCCGCGUGUAGCAGUGAAAUGCGUAGAUAUGCGGAGGAACACCGAUGGCGAAGGCAAUCCCCUGGGGCCUGCACUGACGCUCAUGCACGAAAGCGUGGGGAGCAAACAGGAUUAAGAUACC
RNAcentral lists this ribosomal RNA (455 nucleotides) under uncultured bacterium. RNAcentral's name for it is "bacterial SSU rRNA". It matches the Rfam family "Bacterial small subunit ribosomal RNA", at positions 340 to 786 of the family's 1533-position model. The record is from RNAcentral.